GCGGGCGUGGCGGAAUUGGUAGACGCGCUGGUUUUAGGUACCAGUGACAUCAGUCGUGUGGGUUCAAGUCCCUCCGCCCGUACCA
RNAcentral lists this transfer RNA (85 nucleotides) under Rickettsiales bacterium. RNAcentral describes it as "tRNA-Leu". It matches the Rfam family "tRNA". Rfam says of the family: Transfer RNA (tRNA) molecules are approximately 80 nucleotides in length. Their secondary structure includes four short double-helical elements and three loops (D, anti-codon, and T loops). The record is from RNAcentral. Lineage: Bacteria; Pseudomonadati; Pseudomonadota; Alphaproteobacteria; Rickettsiales.